RNAcentral lists this unclassified non-coding RNA (340 nucleotides) under soil metagenome. Its description in RNAcentral is "partial contains 5.8S ribosomal RNA, internal transcribed spacer 2, and large subunit ribosomal RNA". The stretch from base 1 to 120 matches the Rfam family "5.8S ribosomal RNA", at positions 35 to 154 of the family's 154-position model. The record is from RNAcentral.
GAUGAAGAACGUAGUGAAAUGCGAUAAGUAGUGUGAAUUGCAGAAUUCAGUGAAUCAUCGAAUCUUUGAACGCACAUUGCGCCCUUUGGUAUUCCAAAGGGCAUGCCUGUUCGAGCGUCAUUUGUACCCUCAAGCUUUGCUUGGUGUUGGGCGUCUUGUCUCUAGCUUUGCUGGAGACUCGCCUUAAAGUAAUUGGCAGCCGGCCUACUGGUUUCGGAGCGCAGCACAAGUCCCACUCUCUAUCAGCAAAGGUCUAGCAUCCAUUAAGCCUUUUUUUCAACUUUUGACCUCGGAUCAGGUAGGGAUACCCGCUGAACUUAAGCAUAUCAAUAACGGAGGA